CUUACAAAGUAAAGCUAGCAAUACGUUUACGUUGUAAACAACAAAACCUGAUCUAAGUUACAAUGAAAAACACAUACUUAUGUAUACCGAAACAAAGUUGAGUUGGCAGCGCUCCAUCCUAAUUGCUGUCAAAGUCAAAUGCAUCUACAACCAUCUGACGGUUGCCUACAUAAGUAUAUCGGAACUUCAAAACAGUUCGUGGGCAGUGCUUGUGAUUUGCGCUCGUAAUGAUCUGUGCAGGGUUAAAAUUUAUAAUUUUUAGAAUUUCUAUAUGCUGGUGGUUUUACAAAAAUCCAUUAUAAGUUCGACAUUAGAGGAUAGAUAUCAACUCCGGGAUACUGAAUGUCUUUGUCAAGAUCUCAUAUACAUAUAUUAGUGUGGGGCCACUAUCGGUGCUGCUACACUGCCACUGAAAGAAAGAGAAAUCAGUUUGUAUAUAGGAAGUUGAUUGUCAAAUGUUGAUAAUGACGAAACUAAUGGUGACCAUUCUGCGAAAAGAGCUAAUGUGUCAACGAUGUUGGUGGUGUUGGGUCAGUUACCUUCUUGAAAUAUAAUUCAGCCUCGUAUAAAAAUGGGUGAACCAUCGAAUAGUGAUAAUAUAAGUAAUGAUUGCCUCAUUUGUGACAAAAUCGGAUGUAGUUCUGAAUUAAUCUCUGAACUAGGAGAUAUUAUAAAAGUCACUAGAGGAAUAUCAACACUGAAAGUUGCUUCUGCCGAAAGAUCGGAUGGACUUUCUCAGUAUUUAAAAACUCGCGAAUUUGUAUACGUGCAUUCAGUAUGCAGACAAAAAUAUAUCAAUAAAGGGUGUAUUAAUUCUUAUUAAAAAAAAACACCACACCAGCAUGCUCUCCACCUAAAAAAAACUUCGAGCGGCUACUUCAAUUGAUUUUGAUUGGAAAAAUAUGUGCUUUUUUUGUGAAAAAGAAGCGGAUGAAAUGAAGGAAAAAAGAAAAUCCAAAUCUUCAAGACACCAAAUCAGCUACGUAACUACUUCUGAUUUCAAGAAAACGAUAUUAAAUUUAAGUGAAGAGAGAAGUGAAUAUUGUCGCAAUAUCCAUAAAAGAAUUGUAGGCGUGCUAGAUUUAGCAGCUCAGGAAGCUAAGUAUCACGCUGAUUGUUAUAUGCGUUUAAAAAAUACCGUAAAACAGACCCAGAGAGACAAAAGAAUUCAUCCAGUCGCAAUACAAGUAAAUGCAGCAAUGGAGCAGAUUUUAAAACAUAUUGAAGAAAACGAUAACUGUCAGUUUUCACUGGCAGAAUCAAAAAGUAUUGUAACAUUUGACCAUAUUCCUGACGAUAAAACAAUAAAAAUGAGGUUGACGAAUCAUUAUGAGGAUAAUAUUGUAUUCUCCAGUAAAUUUGGAUCCAAUACAAUAAUAUGUUUUAAAAAACAACAAGACGAAAUAAAAAAAAAAUCGAGUCCG
Molecule: long non-coding RNA, 1424 nt
Organism: Bactrocera neohumeralis
Lineage: Eukaryota; Metazoa; Arthropoda; Insecta; Diptera; Tephritidae
Exons: 3
Source: RefSeq, a predicted model, not a curated record